Molecule: small nucleolar RNA, 200 nt
Filed under: Aotus nancymaae (Ma's night monkey)
Lineage: Eukaryota; Metazoa; Chordata; Mammalia; Primates; Aotidae
Description: Small nucleolar RNA SNORA73 family (ENSANAG00000001895.1)
Rfam family: Small nucleolar RNA SNORA73 family
About the family: U17 (SNORA73A and SNORA73B) also known as E1 belongs to the H/ACA class of small nucleolar RNAs (snoRNAs). Vertebrate U17 is intron-encoded and ranges in length from 200-230 nucleotides, longer than most snoRNAs.
Source: Rfam by way of RNAcentral
CCAACGUGUAAUACCCUGGGAGAUCAUUUUUUUCAGGCUCUGUCCACCUGGCUUAGUGGAACCUAGGGCUCUGCCCCAUGAUGUACAGUCCUUUCUACAGCAUUGGAGGUGAAGCUGGGUCUGGUGGAUCUGCAUAUUCCUGUAGCUUCUCAGAGUCCUGUGGACAAUCACUAGGGAGACAAACCAUGCAGGAAACAUGU